Molecule: long non-coding RNA, 3581 nt
Filed under: Capsicum annuum
Lineage: Eukaryota; Viridiplantae; Streptophyta; Magnoliopsida; Solanales; Solanaceae
Description: long non-coding RNA (CANN_LNC011632)
Source: RNAcentral
GUGCUUCCUCACAGGGCUAUUUUGGUCAUUUCAAUGCUUCAGAUCAGGGAUAUUAUGGUAAUUUCAACUGUUUAUUCUUGCUGGCUUCUUCAUACUAAUACACGUGUCUCCAUUGUUUCAACAACUAUUCAUUCUCAAUUGUUCUUUUCCCUUACCAAGCAUAUCGACAUUUUCUGAAGAAUUAUUUUCGAGUUUCAGGUUCGUCUCUUCUCAUUAUGUGCUUGAUUAUGAUUCCUUUAAUUUCAAUUUUAGCUUAUUCAGUGGAAUGCUUGUUUUUGUGCGAAUUGGGGGUGAAAAAUUUGUGGCUCAUUCUUUAUUUUCUCGGUUUCUCUUUCAAAUCAUGGGGUUUAUUUUACUUGUACUUGCGAUUUUAUUGUUUGAAUGUCCAAAUAAUUUAGGGGAAAUAAGUUGUGACGUAUUUUUUGGAUUAACUGUUUUAUUCUUUGGUGUAUCUUUUGCUCCCUAUCUGUUUGUGAUAAUUCUCCAUCGAAGCUGCUUGUUUGGAUUCUAAGUUUAGGCUGUAGUCUUCUGAUUUUUCCCAGCUAAUUGGAGUAUAUUGAUGGUCGUUAGGUGCUAAAGUUGAAUAGGUACAGUGUAAGCUAUCGUUGGUUAGGCCCACUGUUAUAGCAGUGCAUGUUUACAGUGGUUUGAAAAAUAAACUUUUCCAAAAGGACGAACUGGAUGUUUACUUGGGGCUUCAGAAAUAGUUGAGAAAGUAAGUUUGUAAUGUCAUCGAGACGUUAACAUUCUAAGUAGCGUAUGCUUACUGUUUUCUUGCCUCUUCUCAUAUUACAUUACCACACUAUUUUUAGCAUUUUGAGUUUCAUAACUAAUGAGUUGAUCAAUAAAUAAGGUUGUCUUGAUAAGUGUUUUGUCCAUGUUAGAAAUCCCUCAAAGUUUGAAUCUUUAACUGUGAUUGUUGAUUUAUUGUUAUGGUUUAGCUUAUGUGUUUUGUCCAUGUUAGAACCAAUUCAUGUACUACUCAUCUUCAGCUUUUUGUACGUGACACUUUUCAAACGCUUCUAAUCGUGUAGAUUUAUUUGAAAAAUGAAGAAACAGAUUCGCAACAUCUUCCUUUGUUGAGUAAUCUGCUCUCCAAUUUGAUUUGGAAUUGUCUUUAUAAUUCAGUAGUGAAUCUAUAAUGUUGAUUACGAGUCUAUUUAAAUCUUUGCUUUAACUAUGAAUUUAUUUUAACCAUUUCUUGCACUUCUGUACACAUGAAUUCUUAUACUUUAAGCUCUAUUUAAAUCUCCCUUUUUCAAGAUCGAAAAUCGUCAUCGAUGUUAACUUAGUUGUUACACCAAAAUCAGCCAUAAAUGGCAAUCCUUUCAACGAUGUCUUCUUUAAGUUAAUAUAUCUCUUAAUGUACCAUUCGGAUUGACGAUCUUCUGGUUUUGUUGGACAAUGAAGUCAAAGAGCUUAAUUCUACUGAACUUUCAUAGGUCAGUAAAGUUUAGAAUAUGUACUGACAUAGUAUAUUUGAUGUCUUUCCUUACAAAUAUAGGUUUCGACCCCAUUACUAUCUGAAGCUCGCUGUUCUGGUUAAAUUUGUGAAUGCUUAUUUGACAAAUGAUUGGAUGCUUGGAGUUGCCUUUCGUACUAGGUAUGCAUUAUCUGAAAGCGUAAUAGUACUUUAUUUGACAGUUUCAACGAUUCCCCUCUAUUUGCUUUCACAUUCGAUUUGCCGUUUUCUGCUUCUCUCCCUUGUGACUUCUGUAAUUUCUUCUAAAUAGUCUACUCACUCAAGACUUAGCUGGAAUUCAACCAGUUGAGAUUCCCUCUGUUGAGAAUGUAAGUUCGAUGUUACCAUUUCUUUCUGUAUCGCAGUUUUUUCCAUUUACUUGAACUUUAAUUUCUUUACAGGUUGAUGUAACUGAAUUCAUUGAGGGCCAUUACUUAUUAUCCUGUAUUUGGUCAUCGUGCUAUAAAAACAUAGAUCUUACAGUUCUUAUUUUAGAAAUAUUGCUUCUCUUAUUCUGAGUGCAUAGGUAGACCACAGAUUUAUCAAUUGUAAAGCUUCUGUAGUGUGAAUAAGCUUAUGAAACAAGAAUAUGCUUCUUUUAUGAGAAGUAGGCUAGCUAAAUUUUGCUUCCUGCUUUUGUUUCCAAAGAGAAUAUAGUUAGGGGAUAUCAUGUAGUCAUUUGGAAUUUAUCAUCACAAUAGUUUGGGGAUGACUGAAGGAGAGCCUUGGUAAAGUUGCUAUCAUGAAAUUAGGAGGUCAUGGGUUCAAGCCGUGAAAAUAGCCCCUCGUAGAAAUGUAAGUUGAGCUUGUGUACUAUAGACUUGUGCUCUGGCCCUUCUGCGGACGCAACUUGGUUUAAUUGUAUUUGUUAUAAUUCAAAACUGGACAUAUUAGCUUAGAGGGAAGAGAAAGUCAAGACAACCACAAACAUAGCAUGAGUACUGCUCAUUUGGGAAAUGUUGGAAGAUAUGUGAACUUUUUCUUACAUUGAUUAAGACGCGAGUUUCGACAUGGUACCUUAUAUGUCAAUAAAUUGUGUACCUAAGGGCAUUUUUGACUUUUUAUAAGGUUUCUUGUGCAACGUGUCUUUCAACAUGUGCACCUAUAUAGCCACGUAUCCUUUUUUGCUUCCUUUUAGAUAUAUUUCAUUCUUUCUCUUUGUCCGUCUAUAUUUGUUAUCUGAUAUUUUCUUACAUGAAAUCCACCAUUACCUCCAACGCAGAUUGAAAGUGAACAAAUUUUAUCAUAAAAUAUAGCAUGUUCCAAAAGCUUACAUGCACUUAAAAUUCAUAACGGCUGCUUUUCUACUUAUCUAUAUAAUGUCUAGCUUAGAUAUAUUUUGUUCUUUUAUGUCUUUGAUAUUUUAAUUAUUCGAAAUAUCUGUAUAUUAAAGCAAUUUUUGUGACUUUCCCUUGAAUUUUUUGCAGAUACUCUUCACCAAAUGUGACCGAGAGAAUUGACAAAGCAAUGCUUGGCUACUAGCAAAUUUAGCUGGUUCAAGUGUGAUAUAUCUGAGAUGAACUUGACUCUCUUAGCUCUACAAUUUUUUAAGAGUCCUUAGAAGGUGAGGAGUAACAAAUCUUACGCCAUGAAAGCAGAAAGCAAAAACAACAAAUAAAUGAAGAAAUUGAGUAUGGUGCCUCAUAAUAUCAAUUUGAUAGAUUUCAUAGUAGUAAGUACUUACAUUAGAGAUGGUUUGUGUAUGCAGAAGUAUAAUAAUAAAGUAACAGUUUUUUGUCAAAAUGACUUAGCAUGGAAUAGUCACCUUCUACCUUUUGAAUUUUAGUCAAUAGAAUAAGUUGUUUUCCCCCUCAAGAAGCUGAAGCAAUGUGAGAGACCCAGAAAAGCAAAAUAGGUAUUUUAGCGUCUUAAGUUGUAAAUUUUUGUUAGUGAACUGGAACAUUUUAUAGUUUGACAUUGUGAAUGAAAACAACAGAUGUAAAUUCUUUGCAGGACUUAAAGCUGGAAAAAAUUUCACCAUUCUUUAACCAUCUUUUUAUUCAAGUGAUGGUUUACUUUCACAUCUGGACUUUCAAUGUGAAAAAUAUAAAGAAGCUUAAACGCAUAAAUAAUACUCUCUAUUAUAUUGCUGCCUCCAGAAUGUAUAACUAAGGCCAAG